RNAcentral lists this non-coding RNA (1505 nucleotides) under Capsicum annuum. RNAcentral's name for it is "Eukaryotic large subunit ribosomal RNA". It matches the Rfam family "Eukaryotic large subunit ribosomal RNA", at positions 1889 to 3399 of the family's 3401-position model. The record is from Rfam by way of RNAcentral. Lineage: Eukaryota; Viridiplantae; Streptophyta; Magnoliopsida; Solanales; Solanaceae.
GAUGGAAAAAUGUAGGUAAGGAAAGUCGGUAAAAUGGAUCCGUAACUUCGGGAAGAGGAUUGACUCUGAGGGCUGGGCACGGGGGUCCCAGUCCCGAACCCAUUGGUUGUUGGUGUAUUGCACGAGCUGCUCCCGCAGCAAGAGUGCGUUGCAAGGUGCCAGCCUGGGGACAUACUGGGAAAGGUUCCUUCGAGGGCCUUCCCCGCGCGUCAAACAACCAACUCAGAACUGGUACGAACAAGCGGAAUCCGACUAUUUAACUAAAACAAAGAAUUGCGAUAGUCCCAAUGGAUGUUCACGCAAUGUGAUAUUUGCCCAGUGCUCUAAUUGUCAAAGUGAAGAAAUUUAACCAAGCGCAGGUAAACAGCGGGAGUAACUAUGACUCUUUUAAGGUAGCCAAAUGCCUCGUCAUGUAAUUAAUGAUGCACAUGAAUGGAUUAACGAGAUUCCCACUAUCCUUGUCUACUAUUCUUCCAAACCACAGCCAAGGGAACGCGCUUGGCAAAGUCAGUGCGGAAAGAAAACCCUGUUGAGCUUGAAUCUAGUCCGACUUUAUGAAAUGACAUGAGAGGUGUAGUAUAAGUGGGAGCCGAAAGGCGAAAGUGAAAUACCACUACUUUUAAUGUUAGUUUACUUAUUCUGUGAAUUGGAAGCGGGGAACUGCCCCUUUUUUUGGACCCAAGGCUUGCUCUGCGGGCCGAUCCGGGCGGAAGACAUUGUCAGGUGGGGAGUUUGGCUGGGGCGGCACAUCUGUUAAAAGAUAAAGUAGGUGUCCGAAGAUAAGCUCAACAAGAAUAGAAAUCUCAUAUAGAAUAGAAAGGUAAAAGCUCAUUUGAUUUUGGUUUCCAGUACGAAUACGAUCGAUGAAAGCAUGGCCUAAGGAUCUUUUAGACCUUUAAAAUUCAAAGCUAUAGGUGUCGAAAAAGUUACUACUAGGAUAACUGGUUUGUGGCAGCAAAGCAUUCAUAGAGAUGUUGCUUUCUGAUGCUUCGAUGUUGACUAUUCCUAUCAUUGUGAAGUAGAAUUCACCAUGUGUUGGAUUGUUCACCGACCAAUAAGGAACGUGAUCUGAGUUUAUACCAUUGUAAGACAGAUUAGUUUUACCCUACUGAUGACAGUGUCGCAAUAGUAAUUCAACCUAAUACGAGAGGAACCGCUGAUUCUCAUAAUUGGUCAUCGUAUUUGGUUGAAAAGCCAGUGGCGCGAAGCUAACAUGUGCUGGAUUAUGACUGAAUUCCUCUACGUCAAAAUCCAGGCUAGAAGCAAUGCAUGCGCCCACCGCCUACUUGCUGACCCAUAGUAGGGGCCUCAACCCCCAAGGGCACGUGUCAUUAGCUAAGCCACCGCGGCAAAAGGGUUGCGGUGGCCUAUCUAAAGUACAAUUUCCAUCGAGCGGUGAGUAGAAUACUGUGCAGAGAACUUAAAUACGCAAUGGGGUAUUGUAAGUGGCAGAGUGGUCUUGUUGCCACGAUCCACUGAGAUUCAUCCCUUUGUCGCUCCGAUUC